GAUGAACGCUGGCGGCGUGCCUAAUACAUGCAAGUCGAGCGAACGGACGAGAAGCUUGCUUCUCUGAUGUUAGCGGCGGACGGGUAAGUAACACGUGGAUAACCUACCUAUAAGACUGGGAUAACUUCGGGAAACCGGAGCUAAUACCGGAUAAUAUUUUGAACCGCAUGGUUCAAAAGUGAAAGACGGUCUUGCUGUCACUUAUAGAUGGAUCCGCGCUGCAUUAGCUAGUUGGUAAGGUAACGGCUUACCAAGGCAACGAUGCAUAGCCGACCUGAGAGGGUGAUCGGCCACACUGGAACUGAGACACGGUCCAGACUCCUACGGGAGGCAGCAGUAGGGAAUCUUCGGCAAUGGGCGAAAGCCUGAUGGAGCAAUGCCGCGUGGGUGAUGAAGGUCUUCGGAUCGUAAAACUCUGUUAUUAGGGAAGAAAAUAUGUGUAAGUAAAUGUGGACAUCUUGACGGUACCUAAUCAGAAAGCCACGGCUAACUACGUG
This 497-nucleotide ribosomal RNA is filed under the name uncultured bacterium. Its description in RNAcentral is "partial 16S ribosomal RNA". It matches the Rfam family "Bacterial small subunit ribosomal RNA", at positions 28 to 507 of the family's 1533-position model. The record is from RNAcentral.